This 433-nucleotide ribosomal RNA is filed under the name uncultured bacterium. RNAcentral's name for it is "partial 16S ribosomal RNA". It matches the Rfam family "Bacterial small subunit ribosomal RNA", at positions 28 to 507 of the family's 1533-position model. The record is from RNAcentral.
AACGAACGCUGGCGGCAGGCCUAACACAUGCAAGUCGAGCGGACCCUUCGGGGUUAGCGGCGGACGGGUGCGUAACGCGUGGGAAUAUGCCCUUCUCUACGGAAUAGUCCUGGGAAACUGGGGGUAAUACCGUAUACGCCCUUGGGGGGAAAGACUUAUCGGGGAAGGAUUAGCCCGCGUUGGAUUAGGUAGUGGGUGGGGUAAUGGCCUACCACGCCGACGAUCCAUAGCUGGAUUGAGAGGAUGAUCAGCCAGACUGGGACUGAGACACGACCCAGACGCCUGCGAGAGGCGGCAGUGGGGGAACUUAGGGAGUGGGGGCGACGCUGAACGGGCCAUGCCGGGUGGGUGGUGAACGCCUUAGGGUUGUAAAGCACUUUCAGCUGGGAAGAUAAUGACGGUACCAGCAGAAGAAGCCCCGGCUAACUCCGUG